This 356-nucleotide long non-coding RNA is filed under the name Fragaria vesca (wild strawberry). Its description in RNAcentral is "long non-coding RNA (FVES_LNC004169)". Lineage: Eukaryota; Viridiplantae; Streptophyta; Magnoliopsida; Rosales; Rosaceae. The record is from RNAcentral.
GAGAGAGAGAGAGAGAGAGAGAGAGAGAGAGAGAGAGAGAGAAAUUUGAUGGUUAACUGGCAUACUGUUCAACAUACCAAUUAUGCCAUUUGACGACGAUCGACAACCGAAAUAAAGAUUACUUGAGCAUUGGCAACGUAGAUUUGCAGUACCAUGCCAAAAUCCAAAGAAGCUAAUGUUUGGAGAAAGAAGAUAUCAUAUGUAUGCAUGACCUAGCAGCUUGUGUCUAUCUACCAAGUACCAAACCCUAAUUAUAUGUGAUCACACUCAUCUCUAUCACAAAGCGUUGACAACAAUAAUCGAUGGGCUUAUGCUAAUAGAAAUAAAUUUGAUUGAGAUUUCCUUCAAAGAGGUUA